Molecule: ribosomal RNA, 333 nt
Filed under: Triticum aestivum (bread wheat)
Lineage: Eukaryota; Viridiplantae; Streptophyta; Magnoliopsida; Poales; Poaceae
Description: partial small subunit ribosomal RNA
Source: RNAcentral
AUGGUUAUUUUUACAAGGGAUUUGAAAUGGUGCCCUACAUUCAACAAACUAAAGAAUCUAAUACUCAAUGACUACUGGUGCAUGGGCCCUAGCUUUGACGCUCUAAGUUGCAUUCUCAAACACUCACCCGUUCUAGAGAAGCUCAGUCUUCAUCUUUUCAAGGGACUAAGAGCUAAUGUUAAAAUGAAAGGAAGCUAUAGUUCAAUGGAGAGAUCUUCUGUGAUAUCUGAACACCUAAAGGUAGUCGAUGUCAAGUGUUGUGUUGUUGAUGAGAAAGUUGCCGAAGUUCUGAAGUUCCUGUGUACACUUAACAUACGAUUCUGUUUCGUGUAA